MicroRNA precursor from Schistosoma mansoni, 78 nucleotides. It matches the Rfam family "mir-3492 microRNA precursor family". Lineage: Eukaryota; Metazoa; Platyhelminthes; Trematoda; Strigeidida; Schistosomatidae. The record is from Rfam.
AGCUUUUUGAAUCCGUGCUGAGAUUUCGUCAAACACCAAUGCAUUAAGGCUGAUCAGACUUCUAAGAAAAGUGAAGUU